Molecule: ribosomal RNA, 1373 nt
Filed under: uncultured bacterium
Lineage: Bacteria
Description: bacterial SSU rRNA
Rfam family: Bacterial small subunit ribosomal RNA
Source: RNAcentral
GAUGAACGCUGGCGGCGUGCCUAAUACAUGCAAGUCGAGCGAACAGAUAAGGAGCUUGCUCCUUUGAAGUUAGCGGCGGACGGGUGAGUAACACGUGGGUAACCUACCUAUAAGACUGGGAUAACUUCGGGAAACCGGAGCUAAUACCGGAUAACAUUUAGAACCGCAUGGUUCUAAAGUGAAAGAUGGUUUUGCUAUCACUUAUAGAUGGACCCGCGCCGUAUUAGCUAGUUGGUAAGGUAACGGCUUACCAAGGCGACGAUACGUAGCCGACCUGAGAGGGUGAUCGGCCACACUGGAACUGAGACACGGUCCAGACUCCUACGGGAGGCAGCAGUAGGGAAUCUUCCGCAAUGGGCGAAAGCCUGACGGAGCAACGCCGCGUGAGUGAUGAAGGGUUUCGGCUCGUAAAACUCUGUUAUUAGGGAAGAACAAAUGUGUAAGUAACUGUGCACAUCUUGACGGUACCUAAUCAGAAAGCCACGGCUAACUACGUGCCAGCAGCCGCGGUAAUACGUAGGUGGCAAGCGUUAUCCGGAAUUAUUGGGCGUAAAGCGCGCGUAGGCGGUUUCUUAAGUCUGAUGUGAAAGCCCACGGCUCAACCGUGGAGGGUCAUUGGAAACUGGGAAACUUGAGUGCAGAAGAGGAAAGUGGAAUUCCAUGUGUAGCGGUGAAAUGCGCAGAGAUAUGGAGGAACACCAGUGGCGAAGGCGACUUUCUGGUCUGUAACUGACGCUGAUGUGCGAAAGCGUGGGGAUCAAACAGGAUUAGAUACCCUGGUAGUCCACGCCGUAAACGAUGAGUGCUAAGUGUUAGGGGGGUUUCCGCCCCUUAGUGCUGCAGCUAACGCAUUAAGCACUCCGCCUGGGGAGUACGACCGCAAGGUUGAAACUCAAAGGAAUUGACGGGGACCCGCACAAGCGGUGGAGCAUGUGGUUUAAUUCGAAGCAACGCGAAGAACCUUACCAAAUCUUGACAUCCUUUGAAAACUCUAGAGAUAGAGCCUUCCCCUUCGGGGGACAAAGUGACAGGUGGUGCAUGGUUGUCGUCAGCUCGUGUCGUGAGAUGUUGGGUUAAGUCCCGCAACGAGCGCAACCCUUAAGCUUAGUUGCCAUCAUUAAGUUGGGCACUCUAGGUUGACUGCCGGUGACAAACCGGAGGAAGGUGGGGAUGACGUCAAAUCAUCAUGCCCCUUAUGAUUUGGGCUACACACGUGCUACAAUGGACAAUACAAAGGGCAGCUAAACCGCGAGGUCAUGCAAAUCCCAUAAAGUUGUUCUCAGUUCGGAUUGUAGUCUGCAACUCGACUACAUGAAGCUGGAAUCGCUAGUAAUCGUAGAUCAGCAUGCUACGGUGAAUACGUUCCCGGGUCU